GCGACAAAAACGGGCUUCGGCCCGGUUCCAAGCCGCGAAGGGGUGAGUAUCACGUGGGUAACCUGCCCCGAUGACCGGGACAACUCUGCGGAAACUCGGGCUAAUACCGGAUGUGCUCUCAAUCCACCAGGGUUGGGAAAAAAGGAAGCUUCGGCCUCCGCAUCGGGUUGGGCCCGCGGCCCAUUAGCUUGUUGGUGAGGUAACGGCUCACCAAGGCGACGAUGGGUAGCUGGUCUGAGAGGACGAUCAGCCACACUGGGACUGAGACACGGCCCAGACUCCUACGGGAGGUAUCAGUGGGGAAUCUUGCGCAAUGUGCGAAAGCGUGACGCAGCAACGCCGCGUGAGGGAAAAAGGCCUUCGGGUUGUAAACCCUCUUUCAGGAGGGAUCAAGGUUCAUGCC
Molecule: ribosomal RNA, 403 nt
Filed under: uncultured bacterium
Lineage: Bacteria
Description: bacterial SSU rRNA
Rfam family: Bacterial small subunit ribosomal RNA
Source: RNAcentral